UCCGUAGGUGAACCUGCGGAGGGAUCAUUACCGAGUUUACAACUCCCAAACCCAAUGUGAACGUUACCAAACUGUUGCCUCGGCGGGAUCUCUGCCCCGGGCGCGUCGCAGCCCCGGACCAAGGCGCCCGCCGGAGGACCAACCAAAACUCUUAUUGUAUACCCCCUCGCGGGUUUUUUACUAUCUGAGCCAUCUCGGCGCCCCUCGUGGGCGUUUCGAAAAUGAAUCAAAACUUUCAACAACGGAUCUCUUGGUUCUGGCAUCGAUGAAGAACGCAGCGAAAUGCGAUAAGUAAUGUGAAUUGCAGAAUUCAGUGAAUCAUCGAAUCUUUGAACGCACAUUGCGCCCGCCAGUAUUCUGGCGGGCAUGCCUGUCCGAGCGUCAUUUCAACCCUCGAACCCCUCCGGGGGGUCGGCGUUGGGGAUCGGCCCUUUACGGGGCCGGCCCCGAAAUACAGUGGCGGUCUCGCCGCAGCCUCUCCUGCGCAGUAGUUUGCACACUCGCAUCGGGAGCGCGGCGCGUCCACAGCCGUUAAACACCCCAAACUUCUGAAAUGUUGACCUCGGAUCAGGUAGGAAUACCCGCUGAACUUAAGCAUAUCAAUAAGCGGAGGA
Molecule: ribosomal RNA, 614 nt
Filed under: Trichoderma virens
Lineage: Eukaryota; Fungi; Ascomycota; Sordariomycetes; Hypocreales; Hypocreaceae
Description: eukaryotic LSU rRNA
Rfam family: 5.8S ribosomal RNA (bases 231-384)
Source: RNAcentral